UUGCAUAUCCAAUUUUGGUCUUAGUUUAUUCUAAGUUCUUUUUAAUAAGUAAACCAAAUUGAGUAAUUUUUAUUUAAUUAAAAAUUCGUUUACA
Molecule: ribosomal RNA, 94 nt
Filed under: Tricholoma atrosquamosum
Lineage: Eukaryota; Fungi; Basidiomycota; Agaricomycetes; Agaricales; Tricholomataceae
Description: partial small subunit ribosomal RNA
Source: RNAcentral